UACGUAGGGGGCAAGCGUUAUCCGGAUUUACUGGGUGUAAGGGGAGCGUAGACGGCAUAGCAAGUCUGAAGUGAAAGCCCGUGGCUCAACCGCGGAACUGCUUUGGAAACUGUUAAGCUGGAGUACUGGAGAGGCAAGCGGAAUUCCUAGUGUAGCGGUGAAAUGCGUAGAUAUUAGGAGGAACACCAGUGGCGAAGGCGGCUUGCUGGACAGAGACUGACGUUGAGGCUCGAAAGCGUGGGGAGCAAACAGG
This 253-nucleotide ribosomal RNA is filed under the name uncultured bacterium. RNAcentral describes it as "partial 16S ribosomal RNA". It matches the Rfam family "Bacterial small subunit ribosomal RNA", at positions 524 to 776 of the family's 1533-position model. The record is from RNAcentral.